Long non-coding RNA from Terrapene triunguis (Three-toed box turtle), 263 nucleotides. RefSeq lists it as uncharacterized. NCBI's taxonomy places the organism in Eukaryota, Metazoa, Chordata, Testudines, Emydidae. The record is from RefSeq and is a predicted model, not a curated record. The transcript has 3 exons.
CCCUAUAAAAGGACCCCUGGGAAACAAUUUGCCUUGUCCUUGCACAGAAAGCUUCAAGUAUUGAUCAGCUUCCAGACUGCAUACUAUCCAUCUGUUAUCACAAGAGAGCUCACUGCUGAGCUGCCCUAGAUAAACCGCAGCCAUGUCGUCGGAUGCUGAGAUGGCCGUCUAUGGGGUGGCAGCUCCUUUCCUCCGAAAGUCGGAGAAGGAGAGAAUUGAGGCCCAGAACAAGCCUUUCGAUGCUAAGACAUCGGUCUUUGUGG